AUGGCCGCCGACGUCUUCAUGUGCUCCCCGCGCCGACCCCGCAGCCGGGGCCGCCCGGCGCUGCUCAAGCCCCAGGCGCCGGAGGACGACGACGACUCGGACACGGAUGAGCCGUCCCCGCCGCCCGCCGCGGCCGCCGCCACCGCGGCCCGGGCCCACGCGAGCGCCGCGCCGCCGCCGCCCCGGGCCGGGCCGGGCCGCGAGGAGCCGCCGCGCCGCCAGCAGAUCAUCCACAGCGGCCACUUCAUGGUCUCCUCGCCGCACCGCGAGCACCCGCCCAAGAAGGGCUACGAUUUCGACACGGUCAACAAGCAGACGUGCCAGACCUACAGCUUCGGCAAGACCAGCUCCUGCCACCUGUCCAUCGACGCCUCGCUCACCAAGCUCUUCGAGUGCAUGACCCUGGCCUACAGUGGGAAACUGGUGUCUCCAAAGUGGAAGAAUUUCAAGGGCCUGAAGCUGCAGUGGAGAGACAAGAUCCGGCUCAACAACGCCAUCUGGCGGGCGUGGUACAUGCAGUAUUUGGAAAAGCGCAAGAACCCCGUGUGCCACUUUGUCACCCCGCUGGACGGCUCUGUGGACGUAGAUGAGCAUCGCCGCCCAGAGGCCAUCACCACAGAAGGGAAGUACUGGAAGAGCCGCAUUGAGAUUGUCAUCAGGGAAUAUCACAAGUGGAGAACUUACUUCAAGAAAAGGCUGCAGCAGCACAAGGAUGAGGACCUGUCCAGCCUGGCCCAGGAUGACGACUUGCUCUAUUGGCACAAACAUGGGGAUGGCUGGAAGACCCCAGUCCCCAUGGAGGAGGACCCCCUGCUGGACACAGACAUGCUCAUGUCAGAAUUCAGUGACACCCUCUUCUCCACACUGUCUUCACACCAGCCAGUGGCCUGGCCCAACCCACGGGAAAUAGCACACCUGGGGAACGCGGACAUGAUCCAACCGGGGCUGAUGCCUUUGCAGCCCAACCUGGACUUCAUGGACACCUUUGAGCCUUUCCAGGACCUCUUCUCUUCCAGCCGCUCCAUUUUUGGCUCCAUGCUGCCUGCACCUGCCUCGGCACCUGCACCAGAUCCUAGCAGCCCACCUGCUCAGGAGAGCAUCCUGACGACCCCGACUCUCCCCGCUGUGAGCCUCCCAGACAGCCUCAUCGUGCCCCCUGCAGACACCACCCUGGAUCCCAGUAAUAGGCAGGGCUGUGAACGUACCUCCAGGCCUGGGGACCCCUUUAUCCAGCCUACAGACUUUGGUCCCCCUGCGCCACCACUGGGUGCCACCCAGCCUUUCCUCCCCAUCUUCACCAUGCCCCUGCUCUGCCCCAGUCCUGCCCCGGCACCCACUUCCCCGGCCUUGCCAUUAGUCACUCCUCCAGCCACUGCCCUGAACCCCCCGACCCCACCUGCCUUCCUACAGCCCCAGAAGUUUGCUGCAGUCAGCAAGUCACCCUCUGUCAUCACCCACACAGCCUCCGCUACCCUCACCCAUGAUGCCUCUGCCACCACCUUCAGCCAGAGCCAGGGUCUGGUCAUCACCACCCGUCAUCCCACCCCCACGGGGGGCCCCUGUGGCCUGGCCCUGGCUCCUGUCACCCAGCCACCGACAGUUGGGCCUCCCCAGCCCCGUUUAACUUUUGUGCAACCCAAACCUGUAUCCUUGAGUGGGGGGAGGCCCAAGCAGCCCCCCAAAAUAGUGCCUGCUCCCAAACCAGAGCCUGUGUCCUUGGUACUGAAGAAUGCCUGCAUCAGCCCAGCUGCCUUUUCAGGACAGUCGCCAACAGUGAUCAUGGCACCGGGGCCUCUGAAGAGAGAGGGGAUGUUGGCUUCUCCGGGUUCCCAGUCCAACGUGGUCAUCGCGCCAGCUGCCAUUGCCAGGGCUCCCGGAGUCACGGAGUUCCACAGCGGCAUUCUGGUGACAGACCUUGGCCACAGCAGCAGCAGCCAGCCAGCCCCCGGCCCCCGGCUCUUCUCCUCGGGGACAGUGCAGGAUGGCCUGGUGAAGGGCGAGCAGGUCCCCGCUGCGGCUCCCAGCCGAGACGGGCCAAGCUCAGGGCAGGCCUCUCCGUGCACGUCAGAACAGAGCCCUAGUCCUCAGUCUCCUCAGAACAACUGCUCAGGGAAAUCUGCAGACCCCAAGAACGUGGCCGCUCUGAAGAACCGGCAGCUGAAGCACAUCUCAGCUGAGCAGAAGAGGCGCUUCAACAUCAAGAUGGGCUUCGACACCCUCAACAGCUUGAUCUCUAAUAAUUCCAAGCUGACCAGCCACGCCGUCACGCUGCAGAAGGCCGUGGAGCACAUCACCAAGCUGCAGCAGGAGCGCGGCCAGAUGCAGGAGGAGGGCCGGCGGCUGCGGGAGGAGAUCGAGGCGCUCAACGCCACCAUUAUCUCCUGCCAGCAACUGCUCCCGGCCACAGGAGUUCCUGUUGCCCGGCGCCAGUUCGAUCACAUGCGAGACAUGUUCGACGAGUAUGUGAAGAGCCGGACCCUGCAGAACUGGAAGUUCUGGAUCUUCAGCAUCAUCAUCAAGCCUCUGUUUGAGUCCUUCAAGGGCAUGGUGUCCACCAGCAGCCUGGAAGAGCUUCACCGGACCGUGCUGUCUUGGCUAGAGCAGCACUGCGCCCUGCCUGUCCUCAGGCCAACGGUGCUGAGCACCCUCCGCCAUCUGAGCACCACCACCUCCAUCCUGACAGACCCCGCCCAGCUGCCCGAGCAGGCGGCAAAGGCUGUCACCAGAAUCGGCAAGAGGUCGGGGGAGUCUUAACCACGCUCAGCUGGCACGUGACUGCGCAAGGUGCCGUGGGGACCCUGCCCUGGCUGUGGAGAGGAGGCCGAGCUCCAGCCCUCCGGAUGCAGAGCUGCAGGCCCCAGGCUGCACUGGCCCCCGGCUGCUCCCAGUGCUGUGCUCAGGUCUGAAGCAGGUUGGUCCUGCUGACAACAGUCCCUGUUUUGGGAAUCCCUGCUGUAAACUCUCACUCAGCGACCUCAGUCACCGACUCCCUCCACCCUCCACCCUCUGGGCAGCCCUGACAGGGCACCGCCCAUUCCAGUCCCAUCAGUGCCCUGCCAGACCCUGGGGCAGAGGGGACACAUGGGUCCCCUGCCUGUGCCUGUUGCAUCCUGGACACUUGCACUGCUCAGUGACGCCCUGCACCCAUGCUGGCCUGCCCGUGGGCACGCGGCAGGCAUCCUUCUCUCUGACCGUGUAGAUAGAAGUGACAUCUGCUCAGACUUGCACAUGUAGCGCUCGUGUGCAGAAGCGGUGGGCAUGAUGCACAUGGAGAAGGAAAGCACAAACAAUGCAAAGCCCUGCGCUGGCCUGGGAGCUCUGCAGCCUUCCGGUCUGCUGUGACGUCGUACCAUGUGGCUGUGGCGUCCAUGGCACGCCCAAGGGAGGAUCCCGCAGUCCCAGCCCAGGCCCCUUGGCCACCAUGGCCCUUCUGCUCUGUUCACCUGCUUCCUCACUGCAGCCGGCAGGAGCCGGUGUCCAGUGGAAGCUCAUAGGCCUCGGGGCACAGGCUGGAAAGGCCAGACUCCGUAAUGCUGCCCCCAGCUUGGUCCUCUCAUCUGGACUCUUCAACCAGGAGCCCCGAAUGUGACAGUUUUCGGACCAAAGAUGUUGCCCACCCAGAGUCCAGCCUGUCUUGUGUUUGGAGGGAGAAAGAAAUGUUAACAGGCAGCCUUGGAGCUGUCUGCACGCAUCCCAGGUCAGACAGUGGAGCGUUGUCCCAGAUCUGAUCACAGUGAAGGAGUGUCUGGGGCAGCAGGCUGCUUUGGAACGUGGGUGCCGCCACCGGAAGGCUGGGAGGAAGGCACAGCAGGAGGGACUCCAGGCCGAGUUCUGUGUCUGGCAGAGUAGAUGCAGGCGUGUGGUGCUGGUUUAACACUCAGGAACCCCCCCAGGGGGCCCUCCUGGGGAGAGGAAUGUGCUCUGGACAGCGGUGGUGGUGAAGGUCAAGGUGCCCAGCAGGCUCUGCAUUGGACCUGCGUCCUGGCUGGCGGAAGCGGGGACCUGGCAGUGCUUGCUUGGCCGUCAGUCUUGAGGGGCUCUGAAGGGGCCCGGGAAUACAUGAAAAGGGGGCUGAUGUUCAGUUCCACUUGCAUGCCGUGUUCUCAGGGGCUCCUGAGGCCUGAGCAAGGUGCCCAGAGGGCAGGCAGCCUGCCUCAACCUUGGCUGACGAGAAUGGAGGAGGUUGUCCCUGCCUCUAGCCGGGGCACCAUCACCUGCAGGUCCCUACCCCUGAUCUGUGCUUUGCCCUGACAAGAGCAGCUUGGCGCCCCCAGCCUCCCCUGAAAACAUGUUUACAGGCCUUCCUGGGGAAUGAGCCCCAGGCAGAGUGCGACUGGUCCUUGAGAUUUCCCCUGGGAGUGGUAACAGAACCAGUCCUUACCCCCAGGAUAAACAUGGAGUUCCCCUUGGAAAGGGGACGACCACUGUGGUAAGAAUUUCACAAGGUCGAAGGAAAAAGCACGUUCCCAGCUAUGAGGGCCCAGGAGGGUCAGCUCGGCCCCUCUCUACUUCCUGUGCCUUCAAGUAAAAUGCGUAGAUGGCCUAGUGCUUGACCAGCCAGGGCUGCUCCCAGAUCAAUAGCUUUCUCCCCACCCUCCCGGGGAGGCUUUUUUUACAAACUCCAUAAAAUUGGCCUCUUGCUUUGGCCUACCUCUCCCUUUUGCUGAAUUAAUGUUCAUGAUUCUGUUUUGUUAAAUAUUUAAGGCUGUUAGUUGGUGUGAGACUUUGAAGAGGGUGUGUGUAUGUGUGUCUGUCUGUCCUUCCGUCUGUUGGUCUGUCCAUCCGUGUGUCCCAGCAAACUGUUAAGUGGGUGCAUGUUUUUGGUUUGAGAUAUUUACUUAACUCCAUUUAUCUUGGUGCUCACCGUCACCCGCUCUGGGCCACGAAGCUGCAGCUCUUACUGCAGACACGGCUGUUUCUUGUCCCAGCACUUUUCCCGUUUGGAAUCUUGCCCGAGGAACCUGGCCUGGUGUUGACUUCUGUCCUGGGCUCCUGGGUCAGAGUGUGGGGACACAGAGGCCGCUGCCUGUGGCCCUGUGGAUGCUGAUGCAAGGCUGUGGUUUGUUUACACUCAUUUUCACCCCCAUUCCCAUCCCUGCUCCCUUAAAAGAAACAAGUGCUGAUACUUUGGAGAAUCAGGAAAUUAGUCUGAAAAGAAAAAAAAAAAACCUGUCUGGCACGGGAGUCUCUGAAAGCGUUUCCGUGAAAUCCUCUGUGCCAUCGCCCCUCGUGCCGCCACGUGCUUUCGCUGAGUGGGACGUGCAGGGACAGGCCGUGGGACUUUCUGAAGCUGACUGGCCUGUGCCUCCGCCCAGACAUUCGCGCAGCUGCCCCCUCGGAGGGCUGGCGGGCGGCGCCUGCGUUUUUUCCCAGCACGAGGGAAGCAACCUGGGGUCUGGUGUUGGUGUUUGCGGGGUCUCUGGGUCUCCUCCAGGGGGCGGGGGGGCCGGGAGGGCAGCGCAGCCCCAUGUUCCUGGGCCUUUGGCAGGAGCAGAGGCGGCCGCAGGUAUCCCACGUACCCAGCUGCUCCCACUCCUGGCCCAUCACCUUGCCCUGCCGCCCCUUUCUGCUGCUCAGCGGGGCCUGAGGCCUUUCUGCUCUGGCCCGUUGAAGUGUCCACUUUGAUACUCUGGGGACUUUGCACCCAAGGAUGGCCCCAGGCCCCUUUGUCCCACUGCAGGCAAAGGGGUACAGGGGCUGGCGACACUGCUGUCCCCGUCAUUGCCUGGUCCUGGCAGGCCCAUAGGGCUGGGGUACGUGGGAAGGUGCCUGGGCCCCAUGGUGUCCAGGCACCCUCCCUGCCACUCCUCCUGCCUCUUGUUCUCUGGCUCUUCACCCAGAGGGUCCUGCGACCGCAGGUGUGUGGCUUUCAGGAUCCCAAGUUUUCACCAGCUGCCUGGGGUGACAGACCCCUCUUCAGCGGGAGGUGUGUGGACCCAAGGCCUGUGCACGCUCACCUUGCUGAGAAUCACCCGCUUCUCCUGGCGCUUGCUGGAGGUGGAACCUGCCACUGCUUGUUGGAGCCUCGUUGGAACUUCUCUUUGCAAAGUGCUUUCUCGGUCCUGGUCUCCUUGGGGCGGGGGCUCAGAAGCCCUGUGACCUAGGCAGCCCUGGAGCCCUGCGAUGGGACACCCUGCACUGGCUGCUCCUCCUGCCGCUUUUGUUAAAGAGGACUUUGACCACAUCUGAGCACAGAUAAGGAGAGGAUUCAGCCAACACCUUGGCCUUAAGCCGUGAGCCUCCCCUCGCAGGUUUUGUGACUGGAGGGUCAUGCCGGGGGGCAGAGGCAGCUCAGCGAGGCUCCAGGAACGGGGAGAAGCCUUCAGUCCUCCCCAUGUGUCCACCGGAGUUGACAUCCACUGGCCAGAGAAGGGGGGUAUCAACUGUCUGCUUUUCUUUUCCUUCUGCAGCUGACUCCCCGCUCACGUGCACAGGGCGGUCUCCUGUCAGGGCUUGCAAAAAUGAGCCUAGAGAAAGAAAAGGGAAUUUUCAUGUUGAAUUUUGAGUGUGUGUGUGUCAUUUUGCUAUUGUGGAAUUCCUUUCCAAUUACAGCAGGAUUCACCUCUGUCUCCCAAUCAAACUCUUGGUUCCACAGUCAACCCAUCCUGAGCAUCACUAAUUUGAAGAAUUCUGGGUUUCUGAAUAGAGGUUUGCUACACUCAAGAGCUGAGAUUGUGGAGGGCUGGGCGGAGCUGAAGUUUUAAAGACUUCUCCAUGGAGUUCACACCCUGCAGUUCAAAAGGCACGAAGGGCUCAGUCCUGGGACACAGGAUUCCAGGCUGUUCCUCCCAGAAGCCAGUGCCUCCUCAGGAUGCCUCCCUGCUUCCACAACUGAAUCUUCACACGGCCCCGGAGACGAAGCCUGUUUCUUUGCUUAUUUUGUAAUGCCACAGCUGAACACCACGUCCUUUUCCUGGGGGGGUGGGGGGGGGGCUUGGUUUAUUGUGUAAAUGGCUCGUUUUCUCUGUCGUUUGGUGAUUGUAUCUCGGGGCUCCUGGGGGAGGUAGUUACACUUGUGAUCUGAAAGACAAACCUCAGCAGUCCUGUUUGAUGGAGGCACCCCUGACCUCCCCCAGCACCCCCAGAAAGGGGUCUUCUGAUGCUCUGCUGUGAGAAGUGACCCCACCAGCUAUAUCAACACUACAAUGCAUUUUUGAAAUAUAUUUGCAUCCAAGACAAUAAAAAGACAUAUUUUUUGGAAAAGCCUGUGAUGUGUGGUCUUGAACGCGGCCCCGAAGGAGAUGAUGCAUGGCCAGAGCGAGUGAUGGCCACAGCCGGCUCCCAACCUGGGGGUGUAGGUUUGCCUGGAGGGGAGGCCCUGGGGUGAGGCGAGGCCCCUCCUGAGAGGUUCUGAAGAGGUGUCCAGAAACACGCUGUCCUAAAGAGAGCCUCACACACAUAGAAGGCUGGGGUCUGCCCUGGAACUGGGUGGGGCCGGGGCCUCAGGCCUCCCCCCUACUUCGGCAUCCACGCACUCAUACAAAGCACCUCUUGCCUCACCUGGAUCCCGGACCAAGCCACCUGCCGUGCUCACGUUACAGGUGCUGGGGGUUACACAGGGUAAGCCAGGAAGCACCGUGCUGGGGUGCAGUUGUCAUCACACGCCAGCGCUGGCCCCAGCUCAGAGGGCUCUUUGUCGUGGGCUGGUCUGCCCGCCGACCCUUGGCCCAGUACUCCGAGAGGAUGCUGGGAAGCGACCAGUGGAGAUGUCCCUUGGUUGUGUUGAGAUUGUGGUGAUGUCUGUUUAAUUCAGAAGCUUUUCUCUCCCACACCAUCUUCCUCUGCCCUGCUCCUUGUGCCUACACAGGGUGACAGGAUGAGCAGAGCCUGCUGUCCCCUUGCAGGCCACCCGUCCUGGGUAGAGCAGCUCCUGACAGGUGCGUGGACUCGUGACUGACCUUGCACCCCCUGAGGAGAGAGUCGUCAUGACUGCCGGCAAGACUUGGACCUUCAGAACCUGGACCCCAGCGAGAGUCUUUGUUCCAGCCACGAAAGCCUGCCCCCCAUCUGCUGGGAAGUGUGAAGGUGGAGGCCCAGCCAUGUGGCAGGACUCAGAGGCUGACUCACCCCAGGACACCCCAGGUUCCUCUGAAGGUGAGGG
Talpa occidentalis (Iberian mole) is the source of this 8101-nucleotide RNA transcript. It is a transcript of the gene named MLX interacting protein, with no coding region annotated. The transcript is spliced from 18 exons. NCBI's taxonomy places the organism in Eukaryota, Metazoa, Chordata, Mammalia, Eulipotyphla, Talpidae. The record is from RefSeq and is a predicted model, not a curated record.